RNAcentral lists this transfer RNA (72 nucleotides) under Dispira parvispora. It matches the Rfam family "tRNA". From Rfam's summary of the family: Transfer RNA (tRNA) molecules are approximately 80 nucleotides in length. The record is from Rfam by way of RNAcentral. Lineage: Eukaryota; Fungi; Kickxellomycota; Dimargaritomycetes; Dimargaritales; Dimargaritaceae. RNAcentral also lists the same sequence under 1 other name.
GCGUCGAUGGUGUAAUGGUUAGCAUAUACGCUUCCCAAGCGUAUGAUCCGGGUUCGAUUCCCGGUCGUCGCA